Molecule: long non-coding RNA, 592 nt
Filed under: Homo sapiens (human)
Lineage: Eukaryota; Metazoa; Chordata; Mammalia; Primates; Hominidae
Description: HSALNT0225032
Source: RNAcentral
CUGCGCUUCCGAGUGGCGACUGCAGCGGGUCCGGUGCAGGUGAGGGGCGCGCGCCUGCCCAGCUUUGCAGCCCCCGAACGCGGCCUCGCACAGGCCCUCCCUAUCCUGAAGAGAUUAAGAGUCUAGCACCUUUUAAGGUCUGAAUAGGAAACAUUUGUCAUCUGUCAUCUCUAAGGGCAGCCACUGUAAGACUUCAGAGAACCUUGCUCUCCACAAUUUUUUAUCUUAACCUGAACAUUUCCUUUCUAUUGAUCCCAGGUCUUUAGACAAACUCAACCAAUUGUCAAUCAGAAAAUGUUUACAUUUAUCUAUAGCCUGGAAGCCACCCCCCGCCCCGCGCACUUUGAGUUGUCACGCCUUUUUGAACCAAACCAAUGUAUUUCUUGAACGUAUUUCAUUGAUGUGUCAUGCCUCUCUAAAAUGUAUAAAAUCAAGCUGCACCCUGACCACCUUGGGCACAUGUUCUCAGGACCUCCUGAGGGCUGAGUCACGGGCCAUGGUCACUCAUAUUUGGCUCGGAAUAAAUCUCUUAAAAUAUUUUACAGAGUUUGACUCUUUUUUGUUGACAUAGUAGAGUGAGGAGUGAACAAGG